RNAcentral lists this ribosomal RNA (420 nucleotides) under uncultured bacterium. RNAcentral describes it as "bacterial SSU rRNA". It matches the Rfam family "Bacterial small subunit ribosomal RNA", at positions 355 to 772 of the family's 1533-position model. The record is from RNAcentral.
UGGGGAAUAUUGGACAAUGGGCGCAAGCCUGAUCCAGCCACGCCGCGUGAGUGAUGAAGGCCUUCGGGUCGUAAAGCUCUGUGGGGAGGGACGAACGUCCGGGUGAAGAAUCCGGGGUGACGGUACCUCCUUAGCAAGCACCGGCUAACUUCGUGCCAGCAGCCGCGGUAAUACGAAGGGUGCAAACGUUGCUCGGAAUCAUUGGGCGUAAAGCGCACGUAGGCGGCAUUCUAAGUCGGAUGUGAAAUCCCUCGGCUCAACCGAGGACGUGCAUCCGAAACUGGAACGCUCGAGUAUGGAAGAGGGUCGCGGAAUUCUCGGUGUAGAGGUGAAAUUCGUAGAUAUCGGGAGGAACACCAGUGGCGAAGGCGGCGACCUGGGCCAAUACUGACGCUGAGGUGCGAAAGCGUGGGGAGCAAA